Molecule: ribosomal RNA, 429 nt
Filed under: Gemmatimonadota bacterium
Lineage: Bacteria; Pseudomonadati; Gemmatimonadota
Description: Gemmatimonadetes bacterium partial 16S ribosomal RNA
Rfam family: Bacterial small subunit ribosomal RNA
Source: RNAcentral
UAGGGAAUCUUCGGCAAUGGACGAAAGUCUGACCGAGCAACGCCGCGUGAGUGAAGAAGGUGUUCGGAUCGUAAAACUCUGUUGUUAGAGAAGAACAAGGACGUUAGUAACUGAACGUCCCCUGACGGUAUCUAACCAGAAAGCCACGGCUAACUACGUGCCAGCAGCCGCGGUAAUACGUAGGUGGCAAGCGUUGUCCGGAUUUAUUGGGCGUAAAGCGAGCGCAGGCGGUUUCUUAAGUCUGAUGUGAAAGCCCCCGGCUCAACCGGGGAGGGUCAGUGGAAACUGGGAGAGUGGAGUGCAGAAGAGGAGAGUGGAAUUCCAUGUGUAGCGGUGAAAUGAGUAGAUAUAUGGAGGAACACCAGUGGCGAAGGCGGCUCUCUGGUCUGUAACUGACGCUGAGGCUAGAAAGCGUGGGGAGCAAACAGG